This 220-nucleotide long non-coding RNA is filed under the name Nicotiana benthamiana. RNAcentral's name for it is "long non-coding RNA (NBEN_LNC000613)". The record is from RNAcentral. Lineage: Eukaryota; Viridiplantae; Streptophyta; Magnoliopsida; Solanales; Solanaceae.
UGGAGCGACCCGGCAUGAAACUGAACUGGUUCACAGAUAUAGAUGUCAUCUCCCUCACCCUCACUCGAUCACCCGCUCCUAGACCUUCAUGGUGUGACUUAUUAAUUUGAUACCCCUAUAAGUGUUGCAGCACUGGAUGUCACCUUUGUUCUUGUAUAAGGGCACCGCUGUACUCCACCUCCACUCCUCCGGCAUCUUUUUGGUCCUGAAGAUCGCAUUG